Molecule: long non-coding RNA, 726 nt
Filed under: Marmota monax (woodchuck)
Lineage: Eukaryota; Metazoa; Chordata; Mammalia; Rodentia; Sciuridae
Source: RNAcentral
GAAUUAUAAGAGUUAUAUACUGUGUGCAAGGGGAACACAAAUCAAUCUCCAUAUAUGUGUAAGACUAUCUUUGUAUUAAUUUGAAAUGAUUGACGUAGGGGUACCUUAUGGGAGAGCCAGGCUUCAUGUGAGUUUUCCAGUCUUUGAAGCCAUGGAGGAUUAAUCCAAAUCCAGUGGGAAAUCAUUUGUGCUGUUGUCAAAAAAGACCCAUGCCACAUACCUGCAAACGAAACUAUAUCAAUCCCACAUUGACUUUUGGACUUUUGUUAUUAAAAGCCAAAUUAUCAUUGGGUAAUUUAUUACUUUUUUAAGGAACUUGUAGUCAGUCUUGAUGCCAGAGCAAUAGAACAGAAUAGCAGGGAGAGAUCCAAAAAUUGUUACAUGAGGUUUUGUUUUUCCUAAAAGCUCCUGAUGAAAGCUGUUUAAAAGAUACAUAAGAACAUGGAAGAAGCAGACUAACUGGGGCUAAAACAGCAGUUAGGAGCCAUGUGAUACUGUGUUCAGUGAAGACUUGACCUCGCAGUAUCAAGAAUGAUUCCCGGGCCUUGGGAUGUAGCUCAAUGGUAAAGUGCUUACCUAGUACGUGUAAGGUUCUGAAUUCAAUCCCUAGUACUGCCAAAAAAUAAAAAAGAUUUCUCUCUCCCCUUCAUGUUGUUUUUAAGCAUCAGUUUUAUACAUUUCCUCUAGGUAUUGAAAUGGCUUUCCACUUUUGUCAUUUCAGACUAU